AGAGUUUGAUCCUGGCUCAGGAUGAACGCUGGCGGCGUGCCUAACACAUGCAAGUCGAACGAAGCACAUAGGAAAGAGACUUCGGUCAAUGGAAUAUGUGACUUAGUGGCGGACGGGUGAGUAAUGUAUGAGCAACCUGCCUUUCAGAGGGGGACAACAGUUGGAAACGACUGCUAAUACCGCAUAACGUACAGACAUCGCAUGAUGACUGUACCAAAGAUUUAUCGCUGAAAGAUGGGCUCAUAUCUGAUUAGCUGGUUGGUGAGGUAACGGCUCACCAAGGCUGCGAUCAGUAGCCGGACUGAGAGGUUGAACGGCCACAUUGGGACUGAGAUACGGCCCAGACUCCUACGGGAGGCAGCAGUGGAGAAUCUUGCACAAUGGGGGAAACCCUGAUGCAGCAACGCCGCGUGAAGGAUGAGGGCCCUUGGGUCGUAAACUUCUGUUCUAAGGGAAGAUAGUGACGGUACCUUAGGAGCAAGUCCCGGCUAACUACGUGCCAGCAGCCGCGGUAAUACGUAGGGGGCGAGCGUUAUCCGGAAUUAUUGGGCGUAAAGAGUACGUAGGUGGUUUCCUAAGCAUGGGGUUUAAGGCAACGGCUUAACCAUUGUUCGCCCCAUGAACUGGGUUACUUGAGUGCUGGAGGGGAAAGUGGAAUUCCCAGUGUAGCGGUGAAAUGCGUAGAGAUUGGGAGGAACACCAGUGGCGAAGGCGACUUACUGGGCUGCAACUGACGCUGAGGCGCGAAAGCGUGGGGAGCAAACAGGAUUAGAUACCCUGGUAGUCCACGCUGUAAACGAUGAAUGCUAGGUGUAGGGGGUAUCGACCCCUCCUGUGCCGCAGUCAACACAAUAAGCAUUCCGCCUGGGGAGUACGGCGGCAAGGUUGAAAAUUAAAGAAAAUGGACGGGGGCCCGCACAAAGCAGCGGAGCAUGUGGUUUAUUCGACGCAACGCGAAGAACCUUACCAGGUCUUGACAUCCAGGUAAAGCUGUGGAGACACAGUGUGUGCUUGCACAAUCUGAGACAGGUGGUGCAUGGUUGUCGUCAGCUCGUGUCGUGAGAUGUUGGGUUAAGUCCCGCAACGAGCGCAACCCCUAUAAUCAGUUACUAACAGGUCAAGCUGAGGACUCUGAUCAGACUGCCGGGGACAACUCGGAGGAAGGUGGGGACGACGUCAAAUCAUCAUGCCCCUUAUGACCUGGGCUACACACGUGCUACAAUGGCUGUAACAAAGAGAAGCGAAACCGUAAGGUGGGGCAAAUCUCAAAAAAGCAGUCUCAGUUCGGAUUGUGGGCUGCAACCCGCCCACAUGAAGUUGGAGUUGCUAGUAAUCGCGGAUCAGAAUGCCGCGGUGAAUACGUUCCCGGGCCUUGUACACACCGCCCGUCA
RNAcentral lists this ribosomal RNA (1391 nucleotides) under uncultured bacterium. RNAcentral's name for it is "bacterial SSU rRNA". It matches the Rfam family "Bacterial small subunit ribosomal RNA". The record is from RNAcentral.